GGUGAGGCUCCCUCUCCUCCUGGUUGGGAAAGAGGAAGUACAUAACCCCAAUAGCUGCCCGCAGCUAUCAGGAGGCGCGUGGAACGUGACAGCAGUAUGGGUGAAGAAACUAAGAAUCAGAGGAGUUCUAACUGAGCCAUGAGGACUCGAUUCCUGAAAACCUUAUUUAUAAAAAACAGGAAUGGGAACUAAAACAAGGCAACCUGUGCAAGCCCUUACAAGUUUUUCAUGUAUUACAGUAAAAGGUAAAGCAACUUAAAAACCACUUGACAUUUUUUAACAUUUGUAAAAUUUUGUAAUGCACAGUUGUCUCUCAUUUACCAUCCCUUGCUAGAAACUUCUUAGGCUCACCCUUCACUGCAUUUCCAACAUUAUUUUGCUGAUAAUGUAUACGCCCAAGUGACAUGUUUUCAUUUGGCUUAACUUUCAAUGCCUUUUUGAUUUUAUGAUCUAGUCCUUUAUUGCUGGACCCUUGAAUUGUAUCUAGUCUUCUGCUAUUACAAAAAAUGCUGAAUCAAAUAAACCUGAACAUGUAACAUCA
This 541-nucleotide long non-coding RNA is filed under the name Homo sapiens (human). RNAcentral describes it as "HSALNT0356594". The record is from RNAcentral. Lineage: Eukaryota; Metazoa; Chordata; Mammalia; Primates; Hominidae.